RNAcentral lists this ribosomal RNA (758 nucleotides) under uncultured Acidimicrobiaceae bacterium. Its description in RNAcentral is "bacterial SSU rRNA". It matches the Rfam family "Bacterial small subunit ribosomal RNA", at positions 97 to 870 of the family's 1533-position model. The record is from RNAcentral. Lineage: Bacteria; Bacillati; Actinomycetota; Acidimicrobiia; Acidimicrobiales; Acidimicrobiaceae.
GGCGAACGGGUGCGUAACACGUGAGAAACCUGCCCCGAUCUCUGGGAUAACAGUUGGAAACGACUGCUAAUACCGGAUGCCGUCGGACCGUCGCAUGGCGGACCGACGAAAGGGUUACCGGAUCGGGAGGGUCUCGCGGCCUAUCAGCUUGUUGGUGAGGUAACGGCUCACCAAGGCAUCGACGGGUAGCUGGUCUGAGAGGAUGAUCAGCCACACUGGGACUGAGACACGGCCCAGACUCCUACGGGAGGCAGCAGUGGGGAAUAUUGCACAAUGGGCGAAAGCCUGAUGCAGCAACGCCGCGUGCGGGAUGAAGGCCCUAGGGUUGUAAACCGCUUUCAGCAGGGAAGAAAAUGACGGUACCUGUAGAAGAAGGUGCGGCCAACUACGUGCCAGCAGCCGCGGUGACACGUAGGCACCAAGCGUUGUCCGGAUUUAUUGGGCGUAAAGAGCUCGUAGGCGGUUCAGUAAGUCGGGUGUGAAAACUCUGGGCUUAACCCAGAGCCUGCACCCGAAACUGCUGUGACUAGAGUUCGGUAGGGGAGCGGGGAAUUCCUGGUGUAGCGGUGAAAUGCGCAGAUAUCAGGAGGAACACCGGUGGUGAAGGCGCCGCUCUGGGCCGACACUGACGCUGAGGAGCGAAAGCGUGGGUAGCAAACAGGAUUAGAUACCCUGGUAGUCCACGCCGUAAACGUUGGGCACUAGGUGUGGGUCUCUACCAACGAGAUCCGCGCCGUCGCUAACGCAUUAAGUGCCCC